This 655-nucleotide ribosomal RNA is filed under the name uncultured Russula. Its description in RNAcentral is "eukaryotic LSU rRNA". It matches the Rfam family "Eukaryotic large subunit ribosomal RNA", at positions 1 to 611 of the family's 3401-position model. Lineage: Eukaryota; Fungi; Basidiomycota; Agaricomycetes; Russulales; Russulaceae. The record is from RNAcentral.
UUGACCUCAAAUCGGGUGAGACUACCCGCUGAACUUAAGCAUAUCAAUAAGCGGAGGAAAAGAAACUAACAAGGAUUCCCCUAGUAACUGCGAGUGAAGCGGGAAAAGCUCAAAUUUAAAAUCUGGUGGUCUUUGGCCAUCCGAGUUGUAAUUUAGAGAAGCGUCUUCCGCGCUGGACCGUGCACAAGUCUCCUGGAAUGGAGCGUCAUAGAGGGUGAGAAUCCCGUCUUUGGCACGGACACACCAGGGCUUUUGUGAUGCGCUCUCAAAGAGUCGAGUUGUUUGGGAAUGCAGCUCAAAAUGGGUGGUGAACUCCAUCUAAAGCUAAAUAUUGGCGAGAGACCGAUAGCGAACAAGUACCGUGAGGGAAAGAUGAAAAGCACUUUGGAAAGAGAGUGAAACAGUACGUGAAAUUGUUGAAAGGGAAACGCUUGAAGUCAGUCGCGUCGACCGAGACUCAGCCUUGCCUCGGCUUGGUGUACUUCUCGGCCUGACGGGUCAGCAUCAAUUUUGCCCCUUGGAUAAUGGCGAGGGAAAUGUGACACCUUUACGGUGUGUUAUAGUCCCUUGUAGCAUGCAAGGGUUGGGAUUGAGGAACUCAGCACGCGCCUUUGGGUGUCGGGGCUUUGCCCACGAUACGUGCUUAGGAUGUGCG